UGAAGAGAGGAGCUUGCUCUUCUUGGAUGAGUUGCGAACGGGUGAGUAACGCGUAGGUAACCUGCCUUGUAGCGGGGGAUAACUAUUGGAAACGAUAGCUAAUACCGCAUAACAAUGGAUGACACAUGUCAUUUAUUUGAAAGGGGCAAUUGCUCCACUACAAGAUGGACCUGCGUUGUAUUAGCUAGUAGGUGAGGUAAUGGCUCACCUAGGCGACGAUACAUAGCCGACCUGAGAGGGUGAUCGGCCACACUGGGACUGAGACACGGCCCAGACUCCUACGGGAGGCAGCAGUAGGGAAUCUUCGGCAAUGGGGGCAACCCUGACCGAGCAACGCCGCGUGAGUGAAGAAGGUUUUCGGAUCGUAAAGCUCUGUUGUAAGUCAAGAACGGGUGUGAGAGUGGAAAGUUCACACUGUGACGGUAGCUUACCAGAAAGGGACGGCUAACUACGUGCCAGCAGCCGCGGUAAUACGUAGGUCCCGAGCGUUGUCCGGAUUUAUUGGGCGUAAAGCGAGCGCAGGCGGUUUGAUAAGUCUGAAGUUAAAGGCUGUGGCUCAACCAUAGUUCGCUUUGGAAACUGUCAAACUUGAGUGCAGAAGGGGAGAGUGGAAUUCCAUGUGUAGCGGUGAAAUGCGUAGAUAUAUGGAGGAACACCGGUGGCGAAAGCGGCUCUCUGGUCCGUAACUGACGCUGAGGCUCGAAAGCGUGGGGAGCGAACAGGAUUAGAUACCCUGGUAGUCCACGCCGUAAACGAUGAGUGCUAGGUGUUGGAUCCUUUCCGGGAUUCAGUGCCGCAGCUAACGCAUUAAGCACUCCGCCUGGGGAGUACGACCGCAAGGUUGAAACUCAAAGGAAUUGACGGGGGCCCGCACAAGCGGUGGAGCAUGUGGUUUAAUUCGAAGCAACGCGAAGAACCUUACCAGGUCUUGACAUCCCGAUGCUAUUUCUAGAGAUAGAAAGUUACUUCGGUACAUCGGUGACAGGUGGUGCAUGGUUGUCGUCAGCUCGUGUCGUGAGAUGUUGGGUUAAGUCCCGCAACGAGCGCAACCCCUAUUGUUAGUUGCCAUCAUUCAGUUGGGCACUCUAGCGAGACUGCCGGUAAUAAACCGGAGGAAGGUGGGGAUGACGUCAAAUCAUCAUGCCCCUUAUGACCUGGGCUACACACGUGCUACAAUGGUUGGUACAACGAGUUGCGAGUCGGUGACGGCGAGCUAAUCUCUUAAAGCCAAUCUCAGUUCGGAUUGUAGGCUGCAACUCGCCUACAUGAAGUCGGAAUCGCUAGUAAUCGCGGAUCAGCACGCCGCGGUGAAUACGUUCCCGGGCCUUGUACACACCGCCCGUCACACCACGAGAGUUUGU
This 1361-nucleotide ribosomal RNA is filed under the name Streptococcus thermophilus. RNAcentral describes it as "bacterial SSU rRNA". It matches the Rfam family "Bacterial small subunit ribosomal RNA", at positions 67 to 1415 of the family's 1533-position model. Lineage: Bacteria; Bacillati; Bacillota; Bacilli; Lactobacillales; Streptococcaceae. The record is from RNAcentral.